GUUUGACCUGUGGAUGAAAUGAAUCAUGAUUUUCAAGCUCUUGCAUUAGAAUCUCGGGGAAUGGGAGAGCUUUUGCCUACCAAAAAAUUUUGGGAACCUGAUGAUUCAACAAAAGAUGGACAAAAAGGCAUAUUUCUUGGGGAUGAUGAAUGGAGAGAGACUGCAUGGGGAACUUCUCAUCAUUCAAUGUCCCAGCCUAUUAUGGUACAGAGAAGAUCUGGACAGAGUUUUCAUGGAAACAGUGAAGUAAAUGCAAUUCUUUCUCCGCGCUCAGAAAGUGGAGGCCUUGGCGUGAGCAUGGUAGAAUAUGUAUUAAGUUCCUCUCCUGCUGAUAAAUUGGAUUCUCGAUUUAGGAAGGGAACUUUUGGUACUAGAGAUGCUGAAACAGAUGGACCUGAGAAAGGAGAUCAAAAAUGGCAGAGGUUUGCCAAAUGGAAUGGAUGCCGAUUGCAAAGAUUUUAAGUAAGAUUUUUUAACUUUUUCAAGAAGAAAAGCAUUUCUUUUAGGAGUUAUUACAGUUAGUUGAUGUGAUUGAUUUAGAUGGUUUUUCCAAUUUAGGGUUACUUUUAUUUCCUUUGUGCCUUGUCUUAAUCUGGAUGAAUUUUUUUUAAAUAAAA
RNAcentral lists this long non-coding RNA (617 nucleotides) under Rattus norvegicus (Norway rat). RNAcentral describes it as "long non-coding RNA NONRATT024134". Lineage: Eukaryota; Metazoa; Chordata; Mammalia; Rodentia; Muridae. The record is from RNAcentral.